This 253-nucleotide ribosomal RNA is filed under the name uncultured bacterium. Its description in RNAcentral is "partial 16S ribosomal RNA". It matches the Rfam family "Bacterial small subunit ribosomal RNA", at positions 524 to 776 of the family's 1533-position model. The record is from RNAcentral.
GACGUAGGAAGCAAGCGUUGUCCGGAAUCACUGGGCGUAAAGCGCGUGUAGGCGGUAUGGCAAGUCUGCUGUGAAAGCUCUCGGCUUAACCGGGAGAGGUCGGUGGAAACUGCCACACUGGAGGACGGUAGAGGGGGGUGGAAUUCCCGGUGUAGUGGUGAAAUGCGUAGAGAUCGGGAGGAACACCUGUGGCGAAGGCGGCCCCCUGGGCCGGCCCUGACGCUGAGACGCGAAAGCGCGGGGAGCGAACGGG